CAAAGUACUUUGAAGAGAGAGUUAAACAGGGCGUGAAACCGCUAGCUGGUAAACGAGUGGAGCCACGAAGUCGUUUCGUAGAACAAAGCGCACAGAUUCAGUUUAUGUAAUUCCUGAAAUAUGCGAAUUGCAUAGAUGCAUUUCUGUUUGUGCUUCUAUGUAUGCGUACACUGCAACCAAUUAGACGAUCAAUUGUGGAAACAGUUAGUUAUAUAUUCCAUGUAGGUAGCCUGGUAGGACACUUGUUGUUCUAUUGGGUGUCUGACGUGCGUAAUAUGAGAACUACAAUUGAAUACUGAUUGGCACAAAGAAAAUCCAUUCGCAAGAAUGGUUUUUAGAUAAUACUACUUAUUUUGUAUAUGUGUACAAGUAUUUAUUACUGGUGUAAGCUUAGUAGUUUUAAAUUUAGACUAUCUGGCUAUCUAGGGUUUCGGCUUUGGAUGCUUGUUUAGCUUUCUAUCUAAUUGGCUGCUGACUUCACUUUUAAUUUUGUGCUUGCUAUGUUAGCAUGUAUGCAAAAAUAGGCAAGUCAUCUUAUUGGCAGUGAGUAGGUCGGCUUUCCACACGACCCGUCUUGAAACACGGACCAAGGAGUCUAGUUAAGUAUCGAGUUGAUCGGUCUUGAUUAGGCCAGAAUGGAUUUAUCCAAUUGAAAGCAAAGUGAUAUGUGAUCUACUCCUCAAAAAAGGACUAAGCGCAACAUAUACCUACUUGUAUGACUAUACGCGCAAGUGUAGUUAGUAGAGUAAAGAGAUACUUGACUGGUACCCGAAAGAUGGUGAGCCUGGGCAAAUUGAAGCCAGAGGAAACUCUGGUGGAGGAUUGUAGCGAUUCUGACGUGCAAAUCGAUCGUCAGACCUGGGUAUAGGGGCGAAAGACUAAUCGAACCAUC
RNAcentral lists this ribosomal RNA (892 nucleotides) under Boczekella sp. H100 1. Its description in RNAcentral is "partial large subunit ribosomal RNA". It matches the Rfam family "Eukaryotic large subunit ribosomal RNA", at positions 367 to 944 of the family's 3401-position model. The record is from RNAcentral. Lineage: Eukaryota; Metazoa; Arthropoda; Arachnida; Trombidiformes; Phytoptidae.